This 257-nucleotide ribosomal RNA is filed under the name uncultured bacterium. RNAcentral's name for it is "partial 16S ribosomal RNA". It matches the Rfam family "Bacterial small subunit ribosomal RNA", at positions 337 to 611 of the family's 1533-position model. The record is from RNAcentral.
CCCUAUGGGGCGCAGCAGUGGGGAAUAUUGCACAAUGGGCGAAAGCCUGAUGCAGCGACGCCGCGUGAGCGAAGAAGUAUUUCGGUAUGUAAAGCUCUGUCAGCAGGGAAGAAAAUGACGGUACCUGACUAAGAAGCCCCGGCUAACUACGUGCCAGCAGCCGCGGGAAUACGUAGGGGGCAAGCGUUAUCCGGAUUUACUGGGUGUAAAGGGAGCGUAGACGGCAGUGCAAGUCUGGAGUGAAAGCCUGGGGCUCA